UCUGCCAGAGCCUUAAUGAUACAGAUGAGGAUGCCUGCAGCCAACCAUUGGACUGAGCAUGGGGACCCCAAAGGAGGAGUUAGGGAAAGGACUGAAAGAGCUGAAGGGGUUUGCAAUCCCAUAGGAAGAACAACAAUAUCAACCAGACCCUACCAGAGCUCCCAGGGACUAAACCACCAACCAGCUUCAGAGAAACCAGUACUAUGGCUAUGACAGUGCUGUCAGUAUGAUGGAACCUAGAGUCACCUUGAGGACAAUCCUCUCCCCUCGCUUUGGGGGAUGACUUUGACUAGGUUAGCUGAUGUGGAAAACUCCAGCUUAGCUGUAAGAAAUACCGGUCCCUGGAUGGAGAUCCUGGGCUAUGCGGAGUGGGAGAAGCCAGCUGGGCACUCCGCAACAUUCAUUCCUCUCACCUCUGACACAGAAGUCAUGUGACCAGUUAUUUGAUGAACCCGCAGCCUAGACUUGUUUGAGGUGAUGUACUGUACCUGACCUGUGAACUAAAUGAACUUUUCCUUCCUUUAGUAGUUUUGGUUAGGCCGUUUACCACAGCAACAACAAAAGAGACUACAGUAUAACUAUAACGGUGGGCACAGAUUAUAAGAAAUUGAGGGGCUGGGGAUUUAGCUCAGUGGUAGAGCGCUUACCUAGGAAGCGCUAAGGCCCUGGGUUCGGUCCCCAGCUCCGAAAAAAAAGAACCAAAAAAAAAAAAAAAAAAGAAAUUGAAACACCAAGAAGAUAAUUUUUACUAAAAAGUGAUUUGAAUUUUCAAAAAAAAAAAGUUUAUCUCUGCAACUGGGGUGAGCUUGUGAUUUUUCUCACAGUACCAAAAUGAUAAAAUAUGCAAUUAACUUUGUGGUUCCGCCAGAAAUCUCCUAGUUCCUUUAUUUACCAACAUCCCGCUUAAUAGCGGUGUUUCCUUAUUACAACUGUGUGGUCCACAAAUACUAUAAAAGAAACACUUUGAAACACUGCCAAAACUCAAGUGUGCAAUUCACAAGUCACAGGCCUUACUUUACCUAUUUGCUUGGUUUUUGAGAGACGGCCUCAUGACAAAGCCUUAGCUGGAUUGGAAUUUCUUAUGUAGACCAGGCUGGCUUUGAACUUGUAAAGAUCUUAACGCCCCCUCCGACUCUGGAGUCCUGGGAUUAAAAGCAUAUGCGACCAUAUGCAGCUAUUUUUUUUUUUACAUUAUUUCUAAACUAAUGUGCAGAGCAUCGGAUGUCUUUGUGGUAUUUUCAAAUGAAGAGUGUUUUCAUGCAUUGUCCCUCCAACCCUUCCCCCAACCUCUCUGUUACUCUUAGUCCCUCCCCGCCCCCAUGGCUUCUCCCCCAGUCUCUUCCUUCAGGUCCAGGAACGCAACUCAGGUCCAGAUGCUGCACAGAGGGCACCUUUCUCCCGAGACAUCUUCCCAGACCCUGAGCCAGAACUUUCAACAGCGGCAGUGAUAGGAAUGAAACAUCAGAGCAAACCGCACUUUGGAUCCGUGCGCUGAGGAUCCAAACUCGGGCCUUCUUGUUUGUGUGGUAAGCACCUCGCCAACUGAACCAUCUCCGCAGCUCAGUAGAUCUGUGCGAUCCUCUUGGGCGUGUCUCCAAAGAAGUCGGCCGCAUCGAUGGCAGCGUGCAGCGCGUGCAGGGUCUUGAGUACAUUCAGAUGGCCCGACUCAGCUGCAAAGUGAGCUGCAGUCCAGCCCACAUCAGUUACCAAGCAGGGUCUGGCUCCGUAUUGUAUCAGGAGAUGGAUCACCUCCAUUUGCCCUUAGAUACACCAUAGGGAAAGGAGACAAAGUUCCUGAACUUUCUACCCUACUCAAAAUAACCGGAAGUUGGAAACAAACUAGAUGUCCCUUAAGAGAAAAAAUGGAUGACGACUGCAUAGUGGAAUAUUACUCAGCUGUUAAAAAUGGCAUCAUGAAAUGUGCAGACAAGUGGAUGGAACUAAAAACAUCAUCCUGAGUGAGAUAUUCCACUCACAAAGGUAAAUAUACUAUGUACUCACUUAUAUGUGGGUAUCAGCUGUGAAAUCAGUGAUACCUAAUCAUACAUAAGACCACAGAGAUUAGCUAUCAAGUAACAACAUACUAGAGAGCACAGACAGAUCUCAUUAGGAAAGGGAAAUAGAACAGAUAGUUAUGGAUAAUGUAGGGGGCUGAACUGGGCGGAAAGAGUGGGGAGUGUGGAGGAAGAAGGGUUGUGAAAGGGAAUACAGGGAGAGGCAGAU
Non-coding RNA from Rattus norvegicus (Norway rat), 2223 nucleotides. NCBI's taxonomy places the organism in Eukaryota, Metazoa, Chordata, Mammalia, Rodentia, Muridae. The record is from RefSeq and is a predicted model, not a curated record.